This is a non-coding RNA of Arachis ipaensis, 229 nucleotides long. The record is from RefSeq and is a predicted model, not a curated record. Lineage: Eukaryota; Viridiplantae; Streptophyta; Magnoliopsida; Fabales; Fabaceae.
CCCCAUUUGGCAACUUUUUUCUUCUCUUCCAACCCCACUGAACACUGAUAGUGAUGGUGAUAGCUGAAGCCGGAAAUGAGCGAGCUGAGUUUGCAGUUGACGGGUUUCUAAGCACAGUUGAUAGGUUGCAAGCUGAACAACAUAAACAGGUACUUUAUUGAUGGUUUUAUAUUUUAUUGUAGGGUUAUGCACAUGUUGUUUUGUAUCCUUGUUAUGCAUGUAUUUAAUA